This 459-nucleotide ribosomal RNA is filed under the name uncultured bacterium. RNAcentral's name for it is "bacterial SSU rRNA". It matches the Rfam family "Bacterial small subunit ribosomal RNA", at positions 340 to 786 of the family's 1533-position model. The record is from RNAcentral.
UACGGGAGGCAGCAGUAGGGAAUCUUCCGCAAUGGGCGAAAGCCUGACGGAGCAACGCCGCGUGAGUGAAGAAGGUCUUCGGAUCGUAAAACUCUGUUAUUAGGGAAGAACAAAUGUGUAAGUAACUAUGCACGUCUUGACGGUACCUAAUCAGAAAGCCACGGCUAACUACGUGCCAGCAGCCGCGGUAAUACGUAGGUGGCAAGCGUUAUCCGGGAAUUAUUGGGCGUAAAGCGCGCGUAGGCGGUUUUUUUAAGUCUGAUGUGAAAGCCCACGGCUCAACCGUGGAGGGUCAUUGGAAACUGGAAAACUUGAGUGCAGAAGAGGAAAGUGGAAUUCCAUGUGUAGCGGUGAAAUGCGCAGAGAUAUGGAGGAACACCGAGUGGCGAAGGCGACUUUUCUGGGUCUGUAACUGACGCUGAUGUGCGAAAGCGUGGGGAUCAAACAGGAUUAGAUACC